AGAAACUUAGGUUAAUGUCAAACCAAGAGCCUUCAAAGCCCUAAAUAGAGGACACCCCCUCUAGUCUCUG
Molecule: transfer RNA, 70 nt
Filed under: Bavayia kanaky
Lineage: Eukaryota; Metazoa; Chordata; Lepidosauria; Squamata; Diplodactylidae
Description: tRNA-Trp
Rfam family: tRNA
About the family: Transfer RNA (tRNA) molecules are approximately 80 nucleotides in length. Their secondary structure includes four short double-helical elements and three loops (D, anti-codon, and T loops).
Source: RNAcentral